Molecule: ribosomal RNA, 636 nt
Filed under: Bacillus vallismortis
Lineage: Bacteria; Bacillati; Bacillota; Bacilli; Caryophanales; Bacillaceae
Description: bacterial SSU rRNA
Rfam family: Bacterial small subunit ribosomal RNA
Source: RNAcentral
GGCCGAAAAGAUGCUAGUGUUAGGGGGUUCUGCCCCUUAGUGCUGCAGCUAACGCAUUAAGCACUCCGCCUGGGGAGUACGGUCGCAAGACUGAAACUCAAAGGAAUUGACGGGGGCCCGCACAAGCGGUGGAGCAUGUGGUUUAAUUCAAAGCAACGCGAAAAACCUUACCAGGUCUUGACAUCCUCUGACAAUCCUAGAGAUAGGACGUCCCCUUCGGGGGCAGAGUGACAGGUGGUGCAUGGUUGUCGUCAGCUCGUGUCGUGAGAUGUUGGGUUAAGUCCCGCAACGAGCGCAACCCUUGAUCUUAGUUGCCAGCAUUCAUUUGGGCACUCUAAAGUGACUGCCGGUGACAAACCGGAAGAAGGUGGGGAUGACGUCAAAUCAUCAUGCCCCUUAUGACCUGGGCUACACACGUGCUACAAUGGACAGAACAAAGGGCAGCGAAACCGCGAGGUUAAGCCAAUCCCACAAAUCUGUUCUCAGUUCGGAUCGCAGUCUGCAACUCGACUGCGUGAAGCUGGAAUCGCUAGUAAUCGCGGAUCAGCAUGCCGCGGUGAAUACGUUCCCGGGCCUUGUACACACCGCCCGUCACACCACGAGAGUUUGUAACACCCGAAGUCGGUGAGGUAACCU